GAUGAACGCUGGCGGCGUGCUUAACACAUGCAAGUCGAACGGAAAGGCCCUAGCUUGCUUGGGUACUCGAGUGGCGAACGGGUGAGUAACACGUGGGUGAUCUGCCCUGCACUUUGGGAUAAGCUUGGGAAACUGGGUCUAAUACCGGAUAGGACCCCAUUUUGGAUGGUGUGGUGGGAAGUUUUUCGGCGUGGGAGGAUGUCGCGGCCGAUAAGUCUGUUGGUGGUGUAGUGGCCUACCAAGGCGUCGACGGGUAGCCGGCCCGAGGGGGUGGACGGCCACCUUUGGGCCGGAAUGCGGCCCAGAGUCCUACGGGGGGGAGAAGGGGGGAAAAUUUGACCAAGGGCGGCAGCCUGAGGGAGGGAGGCCGGGUGGGGGAAGACGGCCUUUGGGUUGUAAAAUCCUUUGGCUAGGGACGAAGCGUUAUGUGACGGUAACUGGAAAAGAAGCACCGGCUAACUACGUG
Molecule: ribosomal RNA, 466 nt
Filed under: uncultured bacterium
Lineage: Bacteria
Description: partial 16S ribosomal RNA
Rfam family: Bacterial small subunit ribosomal RNA
Source: RNAcentral